Molecule: ribosomal RNA, 254 nt
Filed under: uncultured bacterium
Lineage: Bacteria
Description: partial 16S ribosomal RNA
Rfam family: Bacterial small subunit ribosomal RNA
Source: RNAcentral
CACGUAGGGUGCGAGCGUUGUCCGGAAUUAUUGGGCGUAAAGAGCUCGUAGGCGGUGUGUCGCGUCGGCCGUGAAAACCUGCAGCUUAACUGUGGGCUUGCGGUCGAUACGGGCAUCACUGGAGUUCGGCAGGGGAGACUGGAAUUCCUGGUGUAGCGGUGAAAUGCGCAGAUAUCAGGAAGAACACCCGUGGCGAAAGCGGCUCUCUGGAACGGUACUGACGCUGAGACGCGAAAGCGUGGGGAGCGAACAGG